GGAUGAUUCACUGCGCCCUCUAAAAGGAGCGGCUGAACUUAUGUUCCUGUAAGAGACUCGACCUUGAGGAAACUGUGAGCAGGCACUGCGGGAAGCCUGGCUGUUGAAAAAUGAUGAGGGGCUUGGAGGACUUCCAAAUGCCAGAGAAUGUUGCAAAGGAAAUGUUCAGGGUUAAAGUAAAACAGUUAUCUUCCAUUCCUAAAACAGAGAAUAACAACAGCUUGAAGUGAAUGCAACUCUUCAGUCAUUUCAAAAGUAUUUUUAUAGUACUGUUCCUCAAGACUUUCCACAAAUGU
RNAcentral lists this long non-coding RNA (296 nucleotides) under Homo sapiens (human). RNAcentral's name for it is "HSALNT0340530". Lineage: Eukaryota; Metazoa; Chordata; Mammalia; Primates; Hominidae. The record is from RNAcentral.